Molecule: ribosomal RNA, 253 nt
Filed under: uncultured bacterium
Lineage: Bacteria
Description: partial 16S ribosomal RNA
Rfam family: Bacterial small subunit ribosomal RNA
Source: RNAcentral
UACAGAGGUGGCAAGCGUUGUUCGGAAUCACUGGGCUUAAAGCGUGUGUAGGCGGAUCGUUAAGUACCUUGCGAAAUCCCACGGCUCAACCGUGGAACUGCUGGGUAUACUGGCGAUCUUGAGCCACCUAGGGGCGAGCGGAACAAGCGGUGGAGCGGUGAAAUGCGUAGAUAUCGCUUGGAACGCCAAUGGUGAAAACAGCUCGCUGGGGGUGUGCUGACGCUGAGACACGAAAGCCAGGGGAGCGAACGGG